RNAcentral lists this long non-coding RNA (489 nucleotides) under Equus caballus (horse). Its description in RNAcentral is "lncRNA (ENSECAG00000050352.1)". Lineage: Eukaryota; Metazoa; Chordata; Mammalia; Perissodactyla; Equidae. The record is from RNAcentral.
AAAACAGCAAAGAUUCUGACAGGAUGAUUUUAGAAAACAGUGUUGUCCAGCACCAUAUCCUCAGUGUGAUUAACAAAAGUCAUUUGUUCAGACUCACAUCGCAUAUCCCUGUCCCGUCACAGGGAGCACCUAAAAGUCCACAAAACCCAGCACCCGGAUCUUGGUUUCUAAUAUCAUCCUCUAACAAAGGGAACCAGAGCUUCUUGGAGAAAUGGCUGAUUCCAGAGUUGGGGCAGGACAUGGGCAAGAGGAACCUGGAGCAUCUUGUAGUGCUAGACAUACUAUUAAAACAUCAUCAUGUACAGAAGCCUGGCUCGCCUACCGGAGGAUGAGACAACCGAGAGUGGAGAUGAGUGAACCCAGCUGAAGCUCUCUAGACCAAUCAGCCUGCUGCUGACCCACUAAAUGACCGUGUGCAUGUGAGGGGCCACAGACAAGACCAGCAGGAGAACUGCCCAGCGGGGCCCAGGCCAAAUUGUUGACCUACAG